This 2456-nucleotide long non-coding RNA is filed under the name Nicotiana tabacum (common tobacco). RNAcentral's name for it is "long non-coding RNA (NTAB_LNC014101)". Lineage: Eukaryota; Viridiplantae; Streptophyta; Magnoliopsida; Solanales; Solanaceae. The record is from RNAcentral.
UCACCUGCACACUCACGUUUUUGUUUUUUAGAAAUGGAAAACAAUUUUGUUCAAACAUUUUUUGAUUCCAGAGAGGGGCCACAUGAAUUUCUUUUUCUCAAGCAUGAUAAUCUCAAUAAAAAGGAGGGCUCCCACACAUAAUACACAAACAGAGAAAUGGAAGAGAGAGGAGUAACGAGAGAGGAAAAACGGAAAGGGGAGUGGAGAUCUGAAAAAAAAAAGAAACAAAAAAAACAGAGGGGACGGAGAGAAGAAAGGAGCGGUCACAGCUUCACAAAAAUGGAGUUUGUAAUCUCUUUUUCUUCCUCCAUUAAUGCAGCUUCACAGUAGUAAACAAAGCAGCCCCAAACCCUCUUAUUCUUCAAAAACAAAUAAUAAACUCCAUUAAAAUGCACCAGAUUUCCUCUAUCCCACCACCCAAACACCUUCAUUUUCUGCUUUAGAAAAUCACCACUAUUACAUUAAUUUUUGGCAUCGGUUGGGUUUCAAGUUUUGUUGGCGGCGAGGUUCCCGAUCGAGACGGUAAUUAGCUGUAACUUCGGUCAUCGGUCCAAGUCAUUUCCUAUGUUUCAAGCACCUUUGGCUUUGCUGUAUUCUUCACUGAGUUAUUUUCACUAGUACAAACCAAAAGGUCCAUUUCUCACUUUUAGUUUAAUUCAUGUAUUUAUUGUGCUUUGGUGAAUGUUUUAGUUUGAUUCUUUGAAGUCUCCGUUAUCCUGUCAUAUAUGUGAUUUUAACUUGUUUAUCCAUUUAUGGUAUUCUUGAGUUUAUUAUGUUAAGUUAUUAGAAUUGGUCAGAUCUUAUAUAUUUAGUUGUUGAAGUACAUUUUGUGUUCAAAUGGUGUGUAUAUAUAUGACUGAUGGUAUGAUAAUAUUAACAAUAUCAGAUGUAGUUGUUUUCUAUAUAUAUUUGAACAAAUACUACUAUUGUAUUGUAGAUAUAUAAAAUGUACUAUCAAAUCUACUAUCGAAUAAAAUCCGAUUUCUAUGUUUAUUAUUAAUUCUUUAAAACUUUGAGUAAAGCUCCUAACAAAGCUUUCUGGAUUUGUAUAGUUAUUACGAUUGUUGGACAUUAAUAAUAAAAUUAUUUUUUGCGAUUAAACUCUUAUGUUGUGAAAAUCCUACUCGGUAAUCUCUCUCUUUUAUUCUAAAAACUUGUAUAAUUACCAUCUUAUCUAAAUUAUGAACUGAGAUUACCCCUUUACUACUUUUUUUUAAUCCACUCUGUUCAUCUCUUCUUCUCAAUCUUUUAAAGUUUUUAACACUUUUCUUAACUCUUAUUUCUUUAACCUCACCCCGGCCAUGGUUAAACACUUAUACCCUUCUUAAUUGUUUUCAGGUUUUACUUAACCAGUUUCUCCUAGGAAUUUACAGGUUAAUCCAUCAUAAUUGUUAAAAAAUUGGGAAGCUAACCAUAUACUAAGAGUGAUAUUUAAUAAUCGAUCAUAUGAACAUGAAACAUAAAACUAUACAGAAUAACAAAAAAAAAUUAAAAUAAACAGUGGUAAUAUCUAGCAGGAACAUAAUUUAAAUAAAAGAUGAGUAACUUACAUGCUUAUAGGAGAGAGAUUUCUCUUUCGGGAAACCCGAAAAAGUCUACUGAGCUUUGAAAAUUAAAAACGAUCACACAUAAGCAUAAGGCCUUAUUUAUUUUACAAGCUUAAAGGAGGAACUACUAAAGUAUUCAUAAGGAAAUAUUUUACAAAGUGUUUUGGAAAGGGGGUUGAUGAUGAAAAGGUUGGUUGGAUGGGUUUUCUUCAGAGUGUUUUUCUUCUUUUCGAUCUUGUUUUUUUUCUGCUUUCUUCUCCUUUUUAUAGCUAAAUUUGGGAACGGAUUCUAAACUCUUCUGAAAUCUAUCUUGUCCAGCCUUGCAGGGUACUUCAUUGGGCCCCAUCUUCACAUGGCUUGGUCGGAGAUUCCUUCCGUGUUUGUAACUUUUUCUUCCACUCAAAAUUUUAACUUGUCUUUUAGCACAACUAACAUUACCUCUUGUCACAUCUUCUUUACUUUAUGUCACUUGUCACUUUUGUCUUUUAGCACAGCUAGCAUUUCUUCCUGUUACCUCUUCUUUUCUUGUUUUUCUCGUUGGUAUGCUAUCAUUAUUGAUUUGUAUACCAGCCUUGUUUCUUUUGUCUUUAGUGCUCUUAACUGGGACUUUGUUUUUAGGUGUCUAAAUUAUGUAUAGCUAUUGAAUCGAAACUCAUUUCUGACUCAUCUUCAUAUGGAUCUUGAGCAUCUUGAUAAUUUAGGUUGUCUUCAUAGUUAUCAUCUUCUCUUGAACUUUGGGUUCUUUCUGGAUUUGGACGUGGAUUUGGACUUGGACUUGGAUUCUUAACCAUGUGUUUGUCUUGUUCUUCCUUUUCUUGAAAAAAAUUUUCUAAUGUUUGUUUGAUUAUAUUUUCUAUUUUUUCAUUUUUUUUUCUUUUUUGAAAUUAUACUUUUCUUUUUUUAACAUUU